AGACUUGGUCGUCCGUGGACUCAGUCAGCUGAUGGCACGUCACGAUGCAGCGCGACCACGUGAUCCUGUCACAAGGUUGUUCGCCUUCUUCGUUGGUGCUGCUGAGAGCAUGACUGCCACCAGCAGUGGCGGGGUCCAGGUAGACGUAUGGCAGCGGCAACUCCACGUUCCUCGCUCUGAUGUCACAGCUUAGACGUUUUAGGUCUCUAUGGAAACGCGUUGCAGCCUCCAGGGGACCAGACUCUGAGAAGUACUGCGCCACUGAACCGCCCAGAGGAACCUAAAGGCAGCAGCAGCCAGAUGUCAGGUUAUUACUACCGUUAGAACAGAGCUGCAUCUGACAACCUAUAGAACAUAUGAAACCUAAGCUCCAGUGUAUAAGAGACUGUCAAAUGAAACCUAUGAAACCUAACCUAAACUCCAGUGUCUGACAGUGUCUAUGGAAUGUACGGAACCUAAGCACCAGUGUCUUGCAGAAGGCUAAAUGGAACAUAGAGAAUUUCCAUUGUCUGACAGACAGUUAAAUAGAACAUUUAGAACCUUUGGAACCUAUGGAACCUAAGCUCCAGUGUCUGACAGCAAGUUAAACAGAACCUAUGGAAUCUAAGCUUGUGUCUGACAACAGGUUAAAAUGGAACUUUUGGGACCUAUGGAACCUAAGCACCAGCGUCUGGCAGAUGGUUAAAUGGAACCUAUAUAACCUACUGUCUAGUUUCUGAAAGACAGUAAAACAGAGUCUACGAAACCUAUGAAACCUAGGCUCCAGGUUCUGAAAGACGGUUAAAUGGAAUGUAAGGAACCUAACCUUAACUCUAGUGUCUGACAGACAGUUAAAUGGAACCAGUGGAACCUAAGCUCCAGUGUCUGACAGACUGUUAAACGGAAUGUUUGGGACCCAUGGAACCUAAGCACCAGUGUCUGUCAGAUGGUUAAAUGGAACAUAUAGAACCUACUCUCCAAUCUAUGAAAAACAGUAAAACAGAGGUUAUGGAACCUAAGCUCCAGGUUCUGAAACACAGUUAAAUGGAACCUGCGGAACCUAAGCUCCAAUGUCUGCGAGCACGUUAAACAGAACCUAUGGAACCAGUGGAACCUGAGCCCUAGUGUUUGAUGAUGUCUGCAUUCAUACAAAGUCGGCUGGUUUCUUGCUGAGCAGGUAGACAGUGGCGAGGCCGUGCACGGUGGACUUCACAUCAGGAAAGGCGUCUAUCAGGCUGCGCUCGCUGCAGCCCCCCCUACACACUGGGGGAGGACACUGCAACCCCACAGGAGCAUUUGGCAUCCAGCCAAAAUAAUCCAGCUGCACACAAGGCAACAGUCGGUAAAUAACGCAGCGACCAAAUACAAUGAUCUCAUUAAUCCAGCUCUGCAGCUCAGAGUCUCUAAUGACAUCAUCCUCACCAUGGUAAUGACAGGUUUACAUCAAAACACCUUUGGAUGAUGUCCCACAGCCGCAGACCGUCGUCACGGUAAUAAUAGCCAGGAAUAUUAGCCAGGCCACGCCCAGCGACGUCAUCAGGUAAACACAGGUCCUGAUAGGUGAGCGAGGCUGAUGCCCUCCUCAGAUAUUCCAGUGUAGCAGCUCCACCCACUGCUGUGUACUGAAUAAAUAAUGAGAGAACUUAUGUCCUGCAGAGAAGGUUUACGCUUUUAACAGCCAAGGUUUAUUACAUGCCACGACUGAAAACACUUUAAACAAAUUAUGUUAUGUAAGACUAAUAAAAACACAAAGACCCUGCUCUUCUGUGAAGCUGUUCACAAACCGGCUCACUGAUUUAAGUGUACAGUCUGACCUCUUGGAGUAAUCCUCCAUCAGAGAUCAGCAGCUGCCUAGCCAGAGUGUUGAUCUCCAGAGUGAAACGGAAAUGAGGAGCCAGGAGCUGCAAAACACCAGCCAUGCUGAGAGACACAUCAACCAAUAGCAGCAGCAGGUUGCUGGCCAUUCUCAGCCUGGACUCAAAGGGUCCAGAGGGGGUGCACCAUGGGAAGGUUUCGAAGCGUUGCCAUGGCGAAGAGCUCUGACAUCACAUGUGUCCGCAAAAAGUGAGAACGCAGCUCGUGAUCAGCAAAGUCUGCAGAGCGCACAAAUGUUUUAGCUGUCAGCCAAUCAGCUUCCAGAUCCUGAGGGACGAAGACGGGAUUAGACUCACUUGGAGUCUGCUUCAGCUUGGAAAAGAGACAAGGAAACAAGGCAAGGAAAGGAGGCUUUACAAAGUGUUGGCCGUGAGCCCAUCCAGCAGCCCAUAGUCGACCAGGAACACAUUUCCUGUCUGCAACAGAUAUUUAUGAACCAUGUGAAGGGUCCAGACCCGGCUCCAUCACCUCCAUCUCCUGACGGAGGCUGACUCCUCCCUCCAGCGAUGCCUCCACCAUCUCCUCGGUAACGGCCAGGUUCGCUGGGAUGUUUGUGCACCGGCGAAUUAAAGUAGGGUUGGCCCCAUUCAGAAACUGGUGUCCGAAGAACCAGUCGUCCCUCCAGAACUGUUCCACUAGUCCUGACCCAGAAGUAGGAGAUCAGUAGUUAGUGACAGCUCUGAUAAAUAAGACUGACAAUGUUGAAACAGCUGAGGAGACACUGUGUAUCUCCAGAGGUUAAUGUGUUUAUUGGCUCUGCUCAGUCAUUGCUCUGUUGUGUGUUUUUGGACUGUUUCCUUUUCUUUGGUUUAUCACUCCACUGUUGUUGGACCAAACUUUAUCGCUUAAGUGUUUCUUAUAUGGUUUCAGUUCCUGUCUCGAAAAGGAGAUACAGUAAAACCUUCUAUAUGUAGAGAAACAAAGUGAGUCUCACUGCAAAUUGGGGUCCUGGUCUCCUGACAGAGCUGAUGGAUCUGAUGAAAACUGGACCAGUUCUGCUCAAAGCUCAGGAAGCUUUGCAGACCCAGCUCCACCAAUCUGAGGACAGAGACAAAUGGUGAUGCCACAGGAGACAGGAAGCCACUGCAGAACCCUUCAAAUUAAAGGUUCCAUAGAGAACACCACAUACGCUCUACUGAUGGUCAAAAUCAUGUCAGUCUCUUUGGAAACGGAGAAUCGAACCUCAGCGGGAAGUGACGAAACAUCAUCAGCCUUCAUCAUUUCAGGGAGACCAUCGUCAUAGCAACUCCACCUGUAAACAAAGGUAAAUAAACAAAAUUACACUGUU
Betta splendens (Siamese fighting fish) is the source of this 3142-nucleotide long non-coding RNA. RefSeq lists it as uncharacterized. The record is from RefSeq and is a predicted model, not a curated record. Lineage: Eukaryota; Metazoa; Chordata; Actinopteri; Anabantiformes; Osphronemidae. The transcript has 7 exons.